RNAcentral lists this ribosomal RNA (466 nucleotides) under uncultured bacterium. RNAcentral's name for it is "partial 16S ribosomal RNA". It matches the Rfam family "Bacterial small subunit ribosomal RNA", at positions 28 to 505 of the family's 1533-position model. The record is from RNAcentral.
GACGAACGCUGGCGGCGUGCUUAACACAUGCAAGUCGAACGGAAAGGCCCUGCUUUUGUGGGGUGCUCGAGUGGCGAACGGGUGAGUAACACGUGAGUAACCUGCCCUUGACUUUGGGAUAACUUCAGGAAACUGGGGCUAAUACCGGAUAGGAGCUCCUGCUGCAUGGUGGGGGUUGGAAAGUUUCGGCGGUUGGGGAUGGACUCGCGGCUUAUCAGCUUGUUGGUGGGGUAGUGGCUUACCAAGGCUUUGACGGGUAGCCGGCCUGAGAGGGUGACCGGCCACAUUGGGACUGAGAUACGGCCCAGGCUCCUACGGGAGGCAGCAGUGGGGAAUAUUGCACAAUGGGCGGAAGCCUGAUGCAGCAACGCCGCGUGCGGGAUGACGGCCUUCGGGUUGUAAACCGCUUUCGCCUGUGACGAAGCGUGAGUGACGGUAAUGGGUAAAGAAGCACCGGCUAACUACG